AAGAAAGUCAUAAUGGUUAUGAGGCUGGCUUGAAACUAGUUUUAGAAAGUUCGAUUCUUUCCUUUCUUG
This 69-nucleotide transfer RNA is filed under the name Urocitellus parryii (Arctic ground squirrel). RNAcentral describes it as "Spermophilus parryii (Arctic ground squirrel) tRNA". It matches the Rfam family "tRNA". From Rfam's summary of the family: Transfer RNA (tRNA) molecules are approximately 80 nucleotides in length. Their secondary structure includes four short double-helical elements and three loops (D, anti-codon, and T loops). Further hydrogen bonds mediate the characteristic L-shaped molecular structure. tRNAs have two regions of fundamental functional importance: the anti-codon, which is responsible for specific mRNA codon recognition, and the 3' end, to which the tRNAs corresponding amino acid is attached (by aminoacyl-tRNA synthetases). tRNAs cope with the degeneracy of the genetic code in two manners: having more than one tRNA (with a specific anti-codon) for a particular amino acid; and 'wobble' base-pairing, i.e. permitting non-standard base-pairing at the 3rd anti-codon position. The record is from Rfam by way of RNAcentral. RNAcentral also lists the same sequence under 1 other name. Lineage: Eukaryota; Metazoa; Chordata; Mammalia; Rodentia; Sciuridae.